Molecule: ribosomal RNA, 432 nt
Filed under: uncultured bacterium
Lineage: Bacteria
Description: partial 16S ribosomal RNA
Rfam family: Bacterial small subunit ribosomal RNA
Source: RNAcentral
AACGAACGCUGGCGGCAGGCCUAACACAUGCAAGUCGAGCGCGCCCUUCGGGGUGAGCGGCGGACGGGUGAGUAACGCGUGGGAACGUGCCCUUUUCUACGGAAUAGCCUCGGGAAACUGAGAGUAAUACCGUAUACGCCUUUGGGGGAAAGAUUUAUCGGAAAAGGAUCGGCCCGCGUUGGAUUAGGUAGUUGGUGGGGUAAUGGCCUACCAAGCCGACGAUCCAUAGCUGGUUUGAGAGGAUGAUCAGCCACACUGGGACUGAGACACGGCCCAGACUCCUACGGGAGGCAGCAGUGGGGAAUCUUAGACAAUGGGGGCAACCCUGAUCUAGCCAUGCCGCGUGAGUGAUGAAGGCCUUAGGGUUGUAAAGCUCUUUCAGCUGGGAAGAUAAUGACGGUACCAGCAGAAGAAGCCCCGGCUAACUCCGUG